RNAcentral lists this long non-coding RNA (577 nucleotides) under Penaeus japonicus. Its description in RNAcentral is "uncharacterized LOC122259047, transcript variant X1". The record is from RNAcentral. Lineage: Eukaryota; Metazoa; Arthropoda; Malacostraca; Decapoda; Penaeidae.
UCAUAUUUGGAACAAGAUCCAAUAAUUCGUCUCUUGGGCUUUAACCUUUGGUAUGUAUAUGUGAUGUACAGCUGAUAUAAUGGCACGAAUGAUGAUUAUUUUGCAGUGUACAAUAUUGGUCUUAUUAUUCUAAUAUUUGAUAAAUUUACAGUCUGCCGGACCUGAGCGUCAACAUGGAGAAAACGGGAAUCCAAGCAGCUCUGGUAAAGACAAGGACUCAAGCAACGGAGGAGGAAACAGUCCGGAUAAAGACAAGGACCGAGGAGAUACACUAGGAUCAUCAAAUACUAUUCCGGCAGGAUCAAGCGAUAAUGUCGACUACUUACGAGUCAUCUCCGGAAGACCAGAUGCAAAGAAUAACCAAAGGAGGCGAGAAACUUCUUAUCUCGAUCUCAACGACUCCUCUGGGACUACAAUCCGGAAGUUCUUAGAACAUACUCGAGCACAGUCCAAGGAGUCAUAGAGUGUCACUGCUACUCCUGUUGCUAUUUCUUCGACUGCAACCACAACCACAACAACAACUAGAGAUACUACGACUACUAAUAGUUACACCUACUACUACGACUAUUACUACAAC